This 301-nucleotide ribosomal RNA is filed under the name uncultured bacterium. Its description in RNAcentral is "partial 16S ribosomal RNA". It matches the Rfam family "Bacterial small subunit ribosomal RNA", at positions 509 to 809 of the family's 1533-position model. The record is from RNAcentral.
CAGUCGCCGCGGUAAUACGUAGGUGGCAAGCGUUGUCCGGAAUUAUUGGGCGUAAAGGGCUCGCAGGCGGUUUCUUAAGUCUGAUGUGAAAGCCCCCGGCUCAACCGGGGAGGGUCAUUGGAAACUGGGAAACUUGAGUGCAGAAGAGGAGAGUGGAAUUCCACGUGUAGCGGUGAAAUGCGUAGAGAUGUGGAGGAACACCAGUGGCGAAGGCGACUCUCUGGUCUGUAACUGACGCUGAGGAGCGAAAGCGUGGGGAGCGAACAGGAUUAGAUACCCCAGUAGUCCCUGUCUCUUAUAA